Molecule: long non-coding RNA, 409 nt
Organism: Cyprinus carpio carpio
Lineage: Eukaryota; Metazoa; Chordata; Actinopteri; Cypriniformes; Cyprinidae
Source: Ensembl
UCAGAAUUGAGAACCACUGGUGUAGUCUAUGCAUAUCCCAGCAAACAAGAUCAAUAUUUUUGGUCCGAUUUCCUGGAGGAAAAAAGACUGUACAUUUUAAAUGUCUAUUUGCUAAAAGAAAGAUAAACUUUAACAGCUGACAUCACAAGUUCCUCUUGCUUUGUGACCCCGCCCCUCCAACCACUUACACGUUCACUCACUGAGUUUCAAUCAGAAAUACAUCAGGCUAUCAGGGGUGUGAGAGAGAAAGAGGGCUUUGAGAUGCUUCUGGCGUUUUCCAUGGGAAAUACAGUCACUGCCCCUCGGCCCGGGAUCCUCCGUUAUCCGGUGUGAGUCAGCUGGGUUGUGUGGCAUCAGUCCCUGUGUAAUUAAAAGAUUUUCAUUACAUAGUGCACUUUCACGUCUCGCC